CAGUCGCCACGGUAAUACGAAGGGGGCUAGCGUUGUUCGGAUUUACUGGGCGUAAAGCGCACGUAGGCGGACUUUUAAGUCAGGGGUGAAAUCCCGGGGCUCAACCCCGGAACUGCCUUUGAUACUGGGAGUCUUGAGUUCGAGAGAGGUGAGUGGAAUUGCGAGUGUAGAGGUGAAAUUCGUAGAUAUUCGCAGGAACACCAGUGGCGAAGGCGGCUCACUGGCUCGAUACUGACGCUGAGGUGCGAAAGCGUGGGGAGCAAACAGGAUUAGAUACCCGCGUAGUCCCUGUCUCUUAUAC
This 301-nucleotide ribosomal RNA is filed under the name uncultured bacterium. RNAcentral describes it as "partial 16S ribosomal RNA". It matches the Rfam family "Bacterial small subunit ribosomal RNA", at positions 509 to 807 of the family's 1533-position model. The record is from RNAcentral.